This 444-nucleotide ribosomal RNA is filed under the name uncultured bacterium. RNAcentral describes it as "SSU rRNA". It matches the Rfam family "Bacterial small subunit ribosomal RNA", at positions 26 to 518 of the family's 1533-position model. The record is from RNAcentral.
AGAGCGAACGCUGGCGGCAGGCCUAAUACAUGCAAGUCGAACGGACCCUUCGGGGUUAGUGGCGGACGGGUGAGUAACACGUGGGAACGUGCCCUUUGGUUCGGAACAACUCAGGGAAACUUGAGCUAAUACCGAAUGUGCCCUUCGGGGGAAAGAUUUAUCGCCAUUGGAGCGGCCCGCGUCUGAUUAGCUAGUUGGUGAGGUAAAGGCUCACCAAGGCUACGAUCAGUAGCUGGUCUGAGAGGAUGAUCAGCCACACUGGGACUGAGACACGGCCCAGACUCCGUACGGGAGGCAGCAGUAGGGAAUCUUGCGCAAUGGGCGAAAGCCUGACGCAGCCAUGCCGCGUGAAUGAUGAAGGUCUUAGGAUUGUAAAAUUCUUUCAGCGGGGACGAUAAUGACGGUACCGCAGAGAACGCCCGGCUAACUCGCGCCAGCAGCCGC